CCCGCACAAGCGGUGGAGCAUGUGGUUUAAUUCGACGCAACGCGAAGAACCUUACCAGGACUUGACAUCCCCUGACCGCGUAUGAAAGUACGUUUCACCUCGGGUGACAGGGAGACAGGUGGUGCAUGGUUGUCGUCAGCUCGUGUCGUGAGAUGUUGGGUUAAGUCCCGCAACGAGCGCAACCCUCGACCUUAGUUGCCAGCAUUCAGUUGGGCACUCUAAGGUGACUGCCGGCUAAAAGUCGGAGGAAGGUGGGGAUGACGUCAAAUCAUCAUGCCCCUUAUGACCUGGGCUACACACGUGCUACAAUGGGCGGUACAAAGGGUCGCGAACCCGCGAGGGGGAGCCAAUCCCAAAAAGCCGCUCUCAGUUCGGAUUGCAGGCUGCAACUCGCCUGCAUGAAGCCGGAAUCGCUAGUAAUCGCGGAUCAGCAUGCCGCGGUGAAUACGUUCCCGGGCCUU
This 461-nucleotide ribosomal RNA is filed under the name uncultured Anoxybacillus sp. RNAcentral describes it as "bacterial SSU rRNA". It matches the Rfam family "Bacterial small subunit ribosomal RNA", at positions 920 to 1382 of the family's 1533-position model. The record is from RNAcentral. Lineage: Bacteria; Bacillati; Bacillota; Bacilli; Caryophanales; Anoxybacillaceae.